UACGUAGGGUCCGAGCGUUGUCCGGAAUUACUGGGCGUAACGCGUGCGCAGGCGGCUUUGCAAGACAGAUGUGAAAUCCCCGGGCUUAACCUGGGAACUGCAUUUGUGACUGCAUGGCUGGAGUGCGGCAGAGGGGGAUGGAAUUCCGCGUGUAGCAGUGAAAUGCGUAGAUAUGCGGAGGAACACCGAUGGCGAAGGCAAUCCCCUGGGCCUGCACUGACGCUCAUGCACGAAAGCGUGGGGAGCAAACAGG
This 253-nucleotide ribosomal RNA is filed under the name uncultured bacterium. RNAcentral describes it as "partial 16S ribosomal RNA". It matches the Rfam family "Bacterial small subunit ribosomal RNA", at positions 524 to 776 of the family's 1533-position model. The record is from RNAcentral.